UACGUAGGGCGCAAGCGUUAUCCGGAAUUAUUGGGCGUAAAGAGCUCGUAGGCGGUUUGUCGCGUCUGCUAUGAAAGACCGGGGCUCAACUCCGGUUCUGCAGUGGGUACGGGCAGACUAGAGUGAUGUAGGGGAGACUGGAAUUCCUGGUGUAGCGGUGAAAUGCGCAGAUAUCAGGAGGAACACCGGUGGCGAAGGCGGUUCUCUGGGCAUUACCUGACGCUGAGGAGCGAAAGUGUGGGGAGCGAACAGG
RNAcentral lists this ribosomal RNA (253 nucleotides) under uncultured bacterium. Its description in RNAcentral is "partial 16S ribosomal RNA". It matches the Rfam family "Bacterial small subunit ribosomal RNA", at positions 524 to 776 of the family's 1533-position model. The record is from RNAcentral.